CUUACCUUCAAAGUCCAGCUUGGUCCCGUCUCCAAACAGUAUGUGUCCACAUGAGGCAACAGCACAGUAGUAGGUCCCAGCAUGAGAAAGAUUCAGGCUCUGCAUUGGCAAGUUGUACACACAGGUGUGUGUUUGGUUGUUGGGUUUCCUCUCACACUGAUCAUUCCUGCCUCCAUGGGUGUAAAUGAGUCCUGGAUGAGAUUCUUCAGAGGUUUUGAACCAGUAAACACUGUGUUCUCCAUCACAGGUCCCAGUGUGUACUGUACAGUUCAGAGUCACAGAGCCUCCUGGCUGGAUGGUCUCAGAUGCUG
Long non-coding RNA from Dicentrarchus labrax (European seabass), 311 nucleotides. RefSeq lists it as uncharacterized. Lineage: Eukaryota; Metazoa; Chordata; Actinopteri; Moronidae. The transcript is spliced from 3 exons. The record is from RefSeq and is a predicted model, not a curated record.